Molecule: ribosomal RNA, 447 nt
Filed under: uncultured bacterium
Lineage: Bacteria
Description: bacterial SSU rRNA
Rfam family: Bacterial small subunit ribosomal RNA
Source: RNAcentral
UAGGGAAUAUUGGUCAAUGGGUGAGAGCCUGAACCAGCCAUGCCGCGUGCAGGAAGAAGGCCUUAGGGUUGUAAAGCUCUUUCGGCGGGGAAGAUAAUGACGGUACCCGCAGAAGAAGCCCCGGCUAACUCUGUGCCAGCAGCCGCGGUAAUACAGAGGGGGCAAGCGUUGUUCGGAAUCACUGGGCGUAAAGCGCACGUAGGUGGAUAGUUAAGUUCGGGGUGAAAUCCCAGGGCUCAACCCUGGAACUGCCUCGGAUACUGGCUAUCUCGAGUCCGGAAGAGGUGAGUGGAAUUCCUAGUGUAGAGGUGAAAUUCGUAGAUAUUAGGAAGAACACCGGUGGCGAAGGCGGCUCACUGGUCCGGUACUGACACUGAGGUGCGAAAGCGUGGGGAGCAAACAGGAUUAGAUACCCAGGUAGUCCCUGAGCGGGCUGGCAAGGCGCAU